RNAcentral lists this ribosomal RNA (455 nucleotides) under uncultured organism. RNAcentral describes it as "bacterial SSU rRNA". It matches the Rfam family "Bacterial small subunit ribosomal RNA", at positions 346 to 794 of the family's 1533-position model. The record is from RNAcentral.
GUGCAGCAGGCGCGAAUUUUUCUCAAUGGGCGAAAGCCUGAAGGAGCGACGCCGCGUGGGGGAUGAAUGGCUUCGGCCCGUAAACCCCUGUCAUUUGUGAACAAAUUGUUUCACCUAACACAUGAAGCAUUGAUAGUAACGGAAGAGGAAGGGACGGCUAACUCUGUGCCAGCAGCCGCGGUAAUACAGAGGUCCCAAGCGUUGUUCGGAUUCACUGGGCGUAAAGGGCGCGUAGGCGGUUGGGUAAGUCUGACGUGAAAUCUCCGGGCCUAACCCGAAAACUGCGUUGGAUACUAUCCGGCUAGAGGAAUGGAGGGGAGACUGGAAUACUUGGUGUAGCAGUGAAAUGCGUAGAUAUCAAGUGGAACACCAGUGGCGAAGGCGAGUCUCUGGACAUUUCCUGACGCUGAGGCACGAAAGCCAGGGGAGCAAACGGGAUUAGAUACCCCUGUAGU